AGAUUGAACGCUGGCGGCAUGCCUUACACAUGCAAGUCGAACGGCAGCACGGGAGCAAUCCUGGUGGCGAGUGGCGAACGGGUGAGUAAUAUAUCGGAACGUGCCCAGUAAUGGGGGAUAGCCCGGCGAAAGCCGGAUUAAUACCGCAUACGACCUACGGGUGAAAGCGGGGGAUCGUAAGGCCUCGCGUUAUUGGAGCGGCCGAUAUCAGAUUAGCCUGUUGGCGGGUAAAAGCCCACCAAGGCAACGAUCUGUAGCUGGUCUGAGAGGACGACCAGCCACACUGGGACUGAGACACGGCCCAGACUCCUACGGGAGGCAGCAGUGGGAAUUUGGACAAUGGCGCAAGCCUGAUCCAGCCAUGCCGCGUGUGGGAAGAAGGCCUUCGGGUUGUAAACCUACUUUUGUCAGGAAGAAACGGCUACUUACUAAUAUUAGGAGCUAAUGACGUACUAGAAGAAUAAGCAACCGGCUAACGUACCGUGUACC
This 489-nucleotide ribosomal RNA is filed under the name uncultured soil bacterium. Its description in RNAcentral is "bacterial SSU rRNA". It matches the Rfam family "Bacterial small subunit ribosomal RNA", at positions 26 to 516 of the family's 1533-position model. The record is from RNAcentral.